Molecule: ribosomal RNA, 422 nt
Filed under: uncultured bacterium
Lineage: Bacteria
Description: partial 16S ribosomal RNA
Rfam family: Bacterial small subunit ribosomal RNA
Source: RNAcentral
AAUCUUCGGCAAUGGACGAAAGUCUGACCGAGCAACGCCGCGUGAGUGAUGAAGGUUUUCGGAUCGUAAAGCUCUGUUGCCAGGGAAGAAUAAGUGCGAUAGUAACUGAUCGCACGAUGACGGUACCUGAGAAGAAAGCCCCGGCUAACUACGUGCCAGCAGCCGCGGUAAUACGUAGGGGGCAAGCGUUGUCCGGAAUUAUUGGGCGUAAAGCGCGUGCAGGCGGCCGUUUAAGUCUGGUGUUUAAUCCCGGGGCUCAACCCCGGUACGCACUGGAAACUGGAUGGCUUGAGUGCAGGAGAGAAGAGCGGAAUUCCACGUGUAGCGGUGACAUGCGUAGAUAUGUGGAGGAACACCAGUGGCGAAGGCGGCUCUUUGGCCUGUAACUGACGCUGAGGCGCGAAAGCGUGGGGAGCAAACAG